UCUGCUAUUAUUCUGUACAUGCUCAAGGAAAUGAUAGUAUUAGACACAGUUUCAACCAUAAUAUACUUCCAAUAAAAAAAUGGAAUUUACUCCUUAUUUAAUCUCAUUAGUUUUAGAGCAGUAAAACUCAAAAAAAAUUUCCUGUGGAAAGAGUGUUGUACGUUUUUAAUGGUAUGUCAAAUGACAAUUUUUAGAAAUAUUUCAUCCACAUCUAAGAUUAUAAUUUUAAUCUGUGAGCAUAAGUUUGUAAAAUCACCUUAAGUCAAGUAUAUAAAUAUUGCAUAGUAAUGAAAUCAAAGAUCUGACAAUGUCAAUGAUAUAAGUGUGUUACGCUUUUAGGAAAUAUGUAUAUUUAAUUUUAGGAAACUAUUAAAUGCAAUGCCUUUAUCCAACAUUGUGAAUUAGAAAUUAUUUAGAAGAUCUAAAUAUUUUCAUUAUCCAUUCUCCUUUCUUUCUAGCAUGUGCUAUAAUUUGUCCUCAGAUGCUCUGAAAGUUUGAAUUCCUUUUGCUUUUCCAUGAAAUAGAAGAAAAAUCUUCCCUGCAGUUCUUAACACAAGGCUGUCAGAAGUAGGCAUUGAUAUUACUGUAGAAUCUAGCAAAGUUGUAUAUGGAGUUUGGAGUUUGGUUGAUCCAACUGAAUGUGAUUAACGUUUGCCAAGAUAAAUAAGGUAUUUAUGGUAUUGAAAGAUAAUGACAUUGGUUUUUUUGCCAUUGUGUUUCAUUUUUCCCUGCAUAACAAUGUGUGACAUAAAUACCCACAGAAUGACAAAAUCUUUAAUAUUGGUAUAUUCACUGAUUUUGCUGGAAUCUUAUAUUUUGUCAUACAGGAAAUUUUUGGGUUCUUAAUCCUUCCUCAAGUCUAAUUUUAUAGUGGUAAAGGCUUUGCAUUAACAUCCUUUUUAUGUUCCUUUUUUAAACGAGGAAUACCAGAAAAUUGCUAAAUUCAAUAUUUUUUACAUCCUGAAGUAGUAAAGUUAUUUUGUAUAUUGUUAGUACUUCAAGAAAUCUCCCCCUGAGAAGUCGGACAAACCCCUUAUGCAGUAAUCUGUGAAACUGUUCAGUAGAGAAUAUUUUCUGCAAACACUUGGCUUAGAUUUUAGAUCUUAGCAUUCUGUCAGAAUGCUGGUAGCUGUGUGCCGCCAGAGUAUAGCAGGCAAUAAUAUGACUUUGAUUCUAAUACUUUUAGUGUGCAUGCAUGUGUUUCUAAUCACUGUUAUUUUUUUAAGUAUAUGUAAAAUUAGAAAAAAAAAUCCUUUCUUGAAAACUCAUCAGAUGCUUAGUUUGAAGUUUUUCUCCCCAGAUGUUUUUGAGGAGUGUGAAAAUACUGCAUUCUGGAUGCAGAAAAUAUUACAUUUUCACAUGCAUCUUAAAAAUUUCUGGAAGAUAGAGCUCUCACUUCCCAAACAUCUGGAUGUCCUUGAGCUGAAUGUGAGCCGGGCGCUUCCGUUCUGUGGACAUGUCUGAUACAAUUAUCUGUGAGUGAAAACAGGGUAUUAUAACACAUGAGUUUCAGUCUUAAUUGCAGUGUUGUUACUGUGAAUGCUAUAACCAUACAUAAGUAAAAUGUGUGUAAAUGUAAUAUAUUAUUUUAUACUGCUGUAUACAUACAAAAUAAAUAAAACUAGGAUACAUAUCACACCAUCUUUCCAUGCAUGGAUCUUCCACUGACGUCAUGGGAGCUUUGAAUAAAACCAUCAGUGGC
Molecule: long non-coding RNA, 1702 nt
Filed under: Rattus norvegicus (Norway rat)
Lineage: Eukaryota; Metazoa; Chordata; Mammalia; Rodentia; Muridae
Description: long non-coding RNA NONRATT015267
Source: RNAcentral